This 251-nucleotide ribosomal RNA is filed under the name uncultured bacterium. Its description in RNAcentral is "partial 16S ribosomal RNA". It matches the Rfam family "Bacterial small subunit ribosomal RNA", at positions 84 to 334 of the family's 1533-position model. The record is from RNAcentral.
UUGGGUGGCGACCGGCGCACGGGUGAGUAACGCGUAUGCAACUUACCUAUCAGAGGGGGAUAGCCCGGCGAAAGUCGGAUUAAUACCCCAUGAAACAGGGGUCCCGCAUGGGAAUAUUUGUUAAAGAUUCAUCGCUGAUAGAUAGGCGUGCGUUCCAUUAGGCAGUUGGCGGGGUAACGGCCCACCAAACCGACGAUGGAUAGGGGUUCUGAGAGGAAGGUCCCCCACAUUGGUACUGAGACACGGACCAA